RNAcentral lists this long non-coding RNA (239 nucleotides) under Elaeis guineensis (African oil palm). RNAcentral's name for it is "long non-coding RNA (EGUI_LNC029672)". The record is from RNAcentral. Lineage: Eukaryota; Viridiplantae; Streptophyta; Magnoliopsida; Arecales; Arecaceae.
CGUCACAUGUGCAAAAGAGAAAAAAAAUAAAAAAAAUAAAACUCACAAAACUUGCACACACUUGCCCUUAGAAAAAUAGAGAUUUAAAGGAGGAGGAUUAAAAAUGAAAUUAUAGCUUCAAUAUUAAAACCUUAAUCGUAACACCUAUGAGCUAGAGAAAUCGAAUCGUCGAAAAUGAAAUCCGUAGUAAUAAAAAAGCGAAAAGUAUGGGAUAGAGGUAUUGAAAGAAAAAAAGCUGA